AUUGCUUCUCGGCCUUUUGGCUAAGAUCGAAUGUAGUAUCUGUUCUGGUCAGCUUAAUAUUUAUUUAUUUCAGAAAUAACAUGUCAGAGAGAGAGCUAAAGCUACCUCUC
Molecule: small nuclear RNA, 110 nt
Filed under: Suricata suricatta (meerkat)
Lineage: Eukaryota; Metazoa; Chordata; Mammalia; Carnivora; Herpestidae
Description: U2 spliceosomal RNA (ENSSSUG00005019591.1)
Rfam family: U2 spliceosomal RNA
About the family: U2 is a small nuclear RNA (snRNA) component of the spliceosome (involved in pre-mRNA splicing). Complementary binding between U2 snRNA (in an area lying towards the 5' end but 3' to hairpin I) and the branchpoint sequence (BPS) of the intron results the bulging out of an unpaired adenosine, on the BPS, which initiates a nucleophilic attack at the intronic 5' splice site, thus starting the first of two transesterification reactions that mediate splicing.
Source: Rfam by way of RNAcentral